ACAGAGGCCCCUCGCUGCAUUAGUAGGCAACGCGGUGUGUAGCGAUGGAACGGUACGAGUCAAUUGCAGGGCGCGCAGGCUUCGCGCGAUCACGUGUGCUGCCGCGACGUAGUGACGCCUCGUCCUCAGCAAGUGUUUGCUACGAGAAUGCGGCGAAUUACCUACAACAUGCUCGCGGCGCCGACUGCGCUACUGCUUCAAGCUCUGUCCCUGUCGACGUAUGGGAUGCUCUGUGCCAAGCUGAAGCCUCGGUUCUCCGCGUGGGUCAGCUGAUCGAGGGUUGGCAACGUCUGGUAGCAUACGAAGGCUGCACUACUUCCAGCCAUAGUAGUGAUUUGUCAUCCCGACUCGCAUCGCUGGAGAAGUCGCUGGACAAGCUGCUUUCCGAGUUUCCCAAAACUGCUGAGGAGCUGGUGACCUUGGAUUACAACACGUCUCUGUGCUCAGCAGGAGCCAGAUCGGUCUUGACAGCCGUGCCCAGCUUUCUCUCCAUUACGGCAUCGCUUCGCACCAUCAACAGCAAGCUCUGCUCUCUUGACGGCUUUUCGCGAGAGGUGCUUCCGUUGAUGCGGUGUGAAGACAAUGUUUCGCGUCAAUGUCUCCUUGUGGCGAAUCGGCUGGACAGGUUGGAAGAGAAGCUGAGCACGGCUGAGGCGCUGGUUGCCGCGCUUGGACGCACUUCUGCAGCUAGCAAUGCUAUUUUUGAGCGUAUCGGCAUCAGGUAUGAAGACAUUACCCGCGCAGCAGCCAUGUAAACACUGUACAGCAAUCAUAUUGCGGGUGCACUGAAGUGCGAUUCUCCAGCUCAGGUUUUGAAAAUGGAUGGACGAGGAACCAUCGGUUGCACAG
Molecule: unclassified non-coding RNA, 849 nt
Filed under: Leishmania donovani
Lineage: Eukaryota; Euglenozoa; Kinetoplastea; Trypanosomatida; Trypanosomatidae
Description: gene:LdHU3.24.2950(CDS-product:hypothetical_prote in_conserved)
Source: RNAcentral